AUGUCCACCUACCUCUCCGAUCUUAUUAAGGACUACUCCCUCGACUUUCUGGCGUUGCAAGAAACGAUGAGAAAGAAUUUCCAUAAUAGCUUCUUUAGAAAAAUUGAUCCUGAUGAUCUCUUUGCCUGGUGUUGGGUCCCCUCGAUAGGCAAAUCUGGUGGUAUCCUUUGCGGUGUUAAGAAAGAAAAAUACGAGGUCGUCUCCUGGAAAGUGGGUAAGUUUAUCUUAUAAGACACUAUAAAUAAUGUGGAUAAAAAUGUAAUCUAGGCCCUAAUGGUAGUAUACGGAGCGGCCUGGGAUGAAUUCAAAGAGGAUUUCCUUGUUGAAAUGGCCUCCUUCUGCUCUCACAUCAAUAUCCCUUUUGUGAUAUGUGGUGACUUUAAUAUCUUGAGAGGGGAAGACGACAAGAACAAAAAUAUGAAACAGAACCCUUAUGUUGACAAGUUCAACUCUGUGAUCAAUGCAUUUAACCUUAGAUAAAUUCAUCUAUCUGGGGGUAAAUAUACCUGGUCUAAUAACCAAGCUCACCCUACGCUUGAGAAACUGGAUAGGGUGCUUAUGAGCUAUUCUUGGGAAGAUUUAUUUCCCCUGGUGUCGGUUCGGAAACUUGUUAGAGACAUUUAUGAUCACAACCCUCUCCUACUCUCUCUGAAAGCUGAUAGUCCGGAACCUCCUAAGAAGAAAGAGUUUCGAUUUGAGCUUAGCUGGUUGACAAAUGAGCUGUUUCUCCCUAAAGCCAGAGAAAUCUGGGAAUAGCCU
This 759-nucleotide ribosomal RNA is filed under the name Triticum aestivum (bread wheat). RNAcentral describes it as "partial small subunit ribosomal RNA". Lineage: Eukaryota; Viridiplantae; Streptophyta; Magnoliopsida; Poales; Poaceae. The record is from RNAcentral.